CCUACGGGUGGCAGCAGUGGGGAAUAUUGCACAAUGGGGGAAACCCUGAUGCAGCGACGCCGCGUGAGUGAUGAAGUAUUUCGGUAUGUAAAGCUCUAUCAGCAGGGAAGAUAAUGACGGUACCUGACUAAGAAGCCCCGGCUAACUACGUGCCAGCAGCCGCGGUAAUACGUAGGGGGCAAGCGUUAUCCGGAUUUACUGGGUGUAAAGGGAGCGUAGACGGCAGCACAAGUCUGGAGUGAAAUGCCGGGGCUUAACCCCGGAACUGCUUUGGAAACUGUGCAGCUAGAGUGCAGGAGAGGUAAGUGGAAUUCCUAGUGUAGCGGUGAAAUGCGUAGAUAUUAGGAGGAACACCAGUGGCGAAGGCGGCUUACUGGACUGUAACUGACGUUGAGGCUCGAAAGCGUGGGGAGCAAACAGGAUUAGAUACCCCAGUAGUC
RNAcentral lists this ribosomal RNA (440 nucleotides) under uncultured bacterium. Its description in RNAcentral is "partial 16S ribosomal RNA". It matches the Rfam family "Bacterial small subunit ribosomal RNA", at positions 338 to 795 of the family's 1533-position model. The record is from RNAcentral.